UGGGGAAUAUUGCACAAUGGGGGGAACCCUGAUGCAGCGACGCCGCGUGAGCGAAGAAGGUUUUCGAAUCGUAAAGCUCUGUCCUAUGAGAAGAUAAUGACGGUAUCAUAGGAGGAAGCCCCGGCUAAAUACGUGCCAGCAGCCGCGGUAAUACGUAUGGGGCGAGCGUUGUCCGGAAUUAUUGGGCGUAAAGGGUACGUAGGCGGUUUUUUAAGUCAGGUGUGAAAGCGUGAGGCUUAACCUCAUUAAGCACUUGAAACUGGAAGACUUGAGUGAAGGAGAGGAAAGUGGAAUUCCUAGUGUAGCGGUGAAAUGCGUAGAUAUUAGGAGGAAUACCGGUGGCGAAGGCGACUUUCUGGACUUUUACUGACGCUCAGGUACGAAAGCGUGGGGAGCAAACAGG
RNAcentral lists this ribosomal RNA (403 nucleotides) under uncultured Parvimonas sp. Its description in RNAcentral is "bacterial SSU rRNA". It matches the Rfam family "Bacterial small subunit ribosomal RNA", at positions 355 to 776 of the family's 1533-position model. Lineage: Bacteria; Bacillati; Bacillota; Tissierellia; Tissierellales; Peptoniphilaceae. The record is from RNAcentral.